Molecule: long non-coding RNA, 788 nt
Organism: Peromyscus eremicus (cactus mouse)
Lineage: Eukaryota; Metazoa; Chordata; Mammalia; Rodentia; Cricetidae
Exons: 2
Source: RefSeq, a predicted model, not a curated record
CAUUGUGGGAAGCCCCGCACACAGGAAGCGCUCCGGGCCGCCCGCCCUCGCCUGGCGCGGAGACCCGGCUGCGAGACCCAGCGUGGCUUUGAUUCCGGCGCCUGCGUGUCAGCAGCAGCGCGGCGUGGCCGGGGAAGCUGGCCCCGCGCCGCGGGUGCCCCUGAUGGGCCUGGAAGGAAGACGCUUUGGAAUAGAUCGGAGCUGAGCAAGCUCCUGGGAGGAACGGCCACCCCUUGAGGCUGGCUGGGUGCGUGCCUGGCGCCCCGAGAAUGUCACCUUUUCCGGAAGAUGCAACCCUGCACCCUUGAAACUAGAAAACCUUGUUGGAGUCUGCAAACCGAGAUGCAGGAUGUGGGCACCGAGAAAAAGCAAGAGAUCCCAGUCAGGACUUGGUUGGGCCCAAACCUCGUUCUGCGUGCCAACAAAGACUUGGUUAUGAUCUGUGCAGACCUAAGAUUGCUCACUUGUCCCGUCUUUUGGAGACCCUUUGGUGACCUUCAUUAAAUGGUGUCCUUUCUACUCUCUUAACUGACAUCAGGGCCCUGACUUGCCUAUACAAAGGGAUGGCAUACAAUUACUCACCUUUGUACUCACCCACUAGUACAAGGUCAGCUAGGUAAUCGUUCAACAGUCACCGAACGUAUUAGGUUAUCAGGAACUUUCUGAGAUGGAGUCCCUUCAAUAUGAUUUCUUCAUUAAUCUCAAGGCUUUAUUUAGCACCUCUCUGCAAUACUUAAACAUAACCUUUGAGGUGAGAGGGAAAGGACAUUAAAAUAGCUACAUAACCA